RNAcentral lists this transfer RNA (73 nucleotides) under Prasinoderma coloniale. Its description in RNAcentral is "tRNA-Pro". It matches the Rfam family "tRNA". From Rfam's summary of the family: Transfer RNA (tRNA) molecules are approximately 80 nucleotides in length. Their secondary structure includes four short double-helical elements and three loops (D, anti-codon, and T loops). Further hydrogen bonds mediate the characteristic L-shaped molecular structure. tRNAs have two regions of fundamental functional importance: the anti-codon, which is responsible for specific mRNA codon recognition, and the 3' end, to which the tRNAs corresponding amino acid is attached (by aminoacyl-tRNA synthetases). tRNAs cope with the degeneracy of the genetic code in two manners: having more than one tRNA (with a specific anti-codon) for a particular amino acid; and 'wobble' base-pairing, i.e. permitting non-standard base-pairing at the 3rd anti-codon position. The record is from RNAcentral. Lineage: Eukaryota; Viridiplantae; Prasinodermophyta; Prasinodermophyceae; Prasinodermales; Prasinodermaceae.
CAGAGUGUGGCGCAGUUGGUAGCGUGCUCGGUUUGGGACCGAGUGGUCGCAGGUUCGAGUCCUGUCACUCUGA